Molecule: transfer RNA, 74 nt
Filed under: Bryum argenteum
Lineage: Eukaryota; Viridiplantae; Streptophyta; Bryopsida; Bryales; Bryaceae
Also listed under: 31 other names
Description: partial tRNA-Leu
Source: RNAcentral
CGAUCGGUAGACGCUACGGACUUGAAAAUCCGUUGGCUUUAUUGACCGUGAGGGUUCAAGUCCCUCUACCCCCA